ACAUUGCGAUCAAACCCUACCGUUGUGGGGAGGAGUAGAGAGGGAGGGCGGUCGUUGCAGACAGAGAGAGAUUGCAGAGAGGGAGGGUGGUCGUUGCAGACAGAGAGAGAUUGCAGAGAGGGAGAGCGAGAGAUUGCAGAGAGGGAGAGUGCGUUUCUCCAUCUUCCCCUCUUUUUAAAAAUCCGACCGUUGAGCCUGUAAGUAGCUUACAGGGAAGUGACUUCUCACCCCCAUCGCCCUGCAGUUUUUUGGUAGAUUUGCCUGUAAGUGACUUACAGGCUGUAAGUUACUUACAGGUGAAUUUUCUCUCCCAAACGCCACCUGUAAGUGACUUCCCUGUAAAUCACUUCCCACUUACCCAACUUACAGGCAUCCCAACAGGCCCUAAGAAGGAAAUGAGGGCAGUUGAAGUCGAGCUCUGAUAUUAGUUUUUCUGUCUCAGAAAAAGGAGAAGAAGGUGAAGAAGAAGAAGAAGAGAAGGUAAGCCAUGGAAGAAAGAAGGGAAGGAGCAGAAGACCUCUCAAACCUCUCCCAAUCCAUCGCCAGCCCCAAAACUCUAAACCUAGAGUCCCAGAAUAAGCAUUCCGCCAUAAUCCAACGCCUCUCAAAUCCCAUUCCCCUCAAAUCCCAUUCCAAUUCCUCCUCCCAAUCCACCCAGUCCUUUCUCGAUCUCUUCUCCCAAUCCAAGCUCUCCAUCCAAACAGCCCUGGAUCGUUGCCGUCAGAUUUCUGCUGAGAACCCCGACUCGAAAUCCCACCUGAAAUCUGAUCUUGACAGCCUCUCAGCUGCCAUCACUGAUCUCGAGAAACUCCUUGCGGAGAACUCAUACUUCCUCCCAUCCUAUGAACUUCGCUCAUCUCUCAAGUCCAUAGCUGAAUUGAAAGAAUCCCUCGAAUCCACAAGCUCGGAGCUUCUGCCGCGCAAGAAGUUUGCAUUCAGGAACAAACCUGCAAAGAAAAAUUCGGUGGAUGCAGGCGGUGAAGCUCAAGUUAAGGUUCCUAAUGUUGAUCGGGAUCUGCCUGGAUUCCAGAGCAAGAUUGAAAAGGUUCCAGAGGUAAAUCCGGUUGAAAAAACAUACCUUGGAAUCCGGCAUUCCCCUGGAUUUCAAAACAAGGUGGGUGGUGUUUUGGUUAAGCAGUUUAAGGACUCGGAAGAUGGUGAUUUUACCCUUUCAGAUCUUGAGUCUUGUGAAAUUCGUUUGAAGGGCAGAUUGAGAGCGCUCUUCAUUCAUCGGCUUAGGAAUUGUCGUGUUUAUGUUGGUCCGGUAUCUGGUUCAAUCCAUAUUGAAGAAGUUGAGGGGUGUCUGUUCAUGUUGGCAUCUCACCAGAUUAGGAUUCAUCAUGCGAAGGCGACGGAUUUUUAUUUGCGGGUUCGGAGUAGGCCUAUCAUUGAAGAUAGUAGUGGUGUGGGGUUUGCGCCGUAUGGCUUGGUGUAUGAAGGGAUUGAGAAAGAGAUGAGGGAUUCUGGUCUUGGUGAUGAGACUGGGAAUUGGGCAAAUGUGGAUGAUUUCCGAUGGCUACGAGCUAUGCAGUCUCCAAAUUGGUGCAUUUUGCCGGAGGAAGACCGGGUUGGCACUGUUAAUAUCUCAGAUUCAAUGACACAGAACAGAGAUGAUGAGUCUGUUUCCGUCUAAAUGCUGUAACAGGGGCAUGUAGUGAAUUGUGAAAUGCUAAGGGGGAGCACAAGCUGAACAUUGAGCCUGGUGCUGCAUGGGAGCUCAAUGGGCUCUUCUAUAUAAAAAUGCUGUACUUAUAAUAACUUCAACAAGUAUUUUGGGGUGCUGCAAUCUUGUCUAAUUCAAUACUUCUUCAUCCAUAUGAAUAGGAUCACCAGCUAUGCCUCAUUCCAGCUCUGAAUUUGUAGAAUUGGGCUUCUCUUGCACCACAAGAUUGAAGCCUCUACUCUGAUAGCGUACCCUGCUUCAGGCCUGAUUUUUCUCAGUUCUCAUCUUCAGGGGUUUUAUGGACUUGAAUGUAUAUGAAAUUACAAACUGGGAAGAGUUUUAUACAAAAGAAGAUAGAUUCAGCUGAAGAAUGUCUCCCCUCAUCUAUCCAUGGGUUGGCAAGACUGAAGUUGGUUAGGGCUCCUUUCGGAAUAUUUAGGUGCAAAUUGCCACUUCACCCUAUUUAAACACAAAUGAAGUGAAUUUCAAAUUGCACUGUGUUUAGAAAGUGAGCACCAUGCGGCCAGUAUUGCCAUCAAGCAAACUGGCCAUUUUUCUCAUAUUGCCAUCAUCCUGCUUAGUAACCUCAAGCUUGUAGUUCAUUAUCUUCGUUGGUUUAACCCAUCAAUUGUCUGUACAUACAUAUCAUGAAGUAAUCGGGUAAGCACGUAUGGAUAUGGUAAUUUCUGGUAAUUAGGUAAUUGGUUAAUCAGGUAAUUUUUUUGAAUUGUA
Molecule: RNA transcript, 2395 nt
Organism: Magnolia sinica
Lineage: Eukaryota; Viridiplantae; Streptophyta; Magnoliopsida; Magnoliales; Magnoliaceae
Gene name: tubulin-folding cofactor C
Exons: 3
Source: RefSeq, a predicted model, not a curated record